This 274-nucleotide ribosomal RNA is filed under the name uncultured bacterium. Its description in RNAcentral is "partial 16S ribosomal RNA". It matches the Rfam family "Bacterial small subunit ribosomal RNA", at positions 523 to 796 of the family's 1533-position model. The record is from RNAcentral.
AUACGGAGGGAGCAAGCGUUAUUCGGAAUCACUGGGCGUAAAGGACGCGUAGGCGGGUUUGUAAGUCAGGUGUGAAAUCCUACAGCUCAACUGUAGAACUGCACUUGAAACUACAGACCUAGAGUAUGGAAGGGGCAGAUGGAAUUAGUGGUGUAGGGGUAAAAUCCGUAGAUAUCACUAGGAAUACCGAAAGCGAAGGCGAUCUGCUGGGACAUUACUGACGCUGAGGCGUGAAAGCGUGGGGAGCAAACAGGAGUAGAUACCCCAGUAGUCC